RNAcentral lists this ribosomal RNA (429 nucleotides) under Chloroflexota bacterium. RNAcentral's name for it is "Chloroflexi bacterium partial 16S ribosomal RNA". It matches the Rfam family "Bacterial small subunit ribosomal RNA", at positions 355 to 776 of the family's 1533-position model. The record is from RNAcentral. Lineage: Bacteria; Bacillati; Chloroflexota.
UGGGGAAUAUUGCACAAUGGGCGCAAGCCUGAUGCAGCCAUGCCGCGUGUAUGAAGAAGGCCUUCGGGUUGUAAAGUACUUUCAGUCGGGAGGAAGGUGGUAAGGUUAAUAACCUUAUCAAUUGACGUUACCGACAGAAGAAGCACCGGCUAACACCGUGCCAGCAGCCGCGGUAAUACGGAGGUUGCAAGCGUUAAUCGGAAUUACUGGGCGUAAAGCGCACGCAGGCGGUUGAUUGAGUCAGAUGUGAAAUCCCCGGGCUUAACCCGGGAAUUGCAUCUGAUACUGGUCAGCUAGAGUCUUGUAGAGGGGGGUAGAAUUCCAUGUGUAGCGGUGAAAUGCGUAGAGAUGUGGAGGAAUACCGGUGGCGAAGGCGGCCCCCUGGACAAAGACUGACGCUCAGGUGCGAAAGCGUGGGGAGCAAACAGG